GUUAAUGUAGCUUAAUUCCAAACCAAAGCACUGAAAAAUGCUUAGGAUGGGUUAUUUUUAC
Molecule: transfer RNA, 61 nt
Filed under: Mus terricolor (Earth-colored mouse)
Lineage: Eukaryota; Metazoa; Chordata; Mammalia; Rodentia; Muridae
Description: partial tRNA-Phe
Source: RNAcentral